RNAcentral lists this long non-coding RNA (291 nucleotides) under Cicer arietinum (chickpea). RNAcentral describes it as "long non-coding RNA (CARI_LNC003359)". Lineage: Eukaryota; Viridiplantae; Streptophyta; Magnoliopsida; Fabales; Fabaceae. The record is from RNAcentral.
GCAACCAGAGAAUUAAUACUAUGUGAAAAUUGUUACAACACAUAGACUUCUCUCACUCACACCCCAGACACCCCAGCACAACCACACUCUUACAAAGCAAAUAUUUAAACUAAGUCAGAUACAAGCUUAAAGUGCUAUUGCUGACUGGUGCAUUUGAAAACAAAGGACCAAAACCCAAUAUAUAGCUUUGGCCUUCUCCUUAUUCUCCCACACUAAAGGAUGUGGGACUUGCAAUCAACCCCAACAUGAAGUUUAUUUUUAUAGAGGAAGAAAAAAAAAGUAAAAAAAAAA